Molecule: long non-coding RNA, 213 nt
Organism: Sander lucioperca (pikeperch)
Lineage: Eukaryota; Metazoa; Chordata; Actinopteri; Perciformes; Percidae
Exons: 3
Source: RefSeq, a predicted model, not a curated record
AUCAGGUCUGAAAAACAAUAAUAAACAACAGUAAUCAAUAAAAGUCAUGGUAUUUCAAAAGACCUCCAUCAGGUGUAACACUGCAGAAGGGAUGUUAAUUAUCAGAGAUAUCACAGGACUUUAUUCCCACAAGUCAACACAUGAAGAACCUCCUCACUGAGAUAGGUGUUGACAUGAUUCAUCAAUAGUUCAGGUCUAAUCCUUCAGUAAAUG